GACGAACGCUGGCGGCGUGCUUAACACAUGCAAGUCGAACGAAGAGCGAUGGACGCUUGCUUCUAUCAAUCUUAGUGGCGAACGGGUGAGUAACGCGUAAUCAACCUGCCCUUCAGAGGGGGACAACAGUUGGAAACGACUGCUAAUACCGCAUACGAUCUAAUCUCGGCAUCGAGGAUAGAUGAAAGGUGGCCUCUACAUGUAAGCUAUCACUGAAGGAGGGGAUUGCGUCUGAUUAGCUAGUUGGAGGGGUAACGGCCCACCAAGGCGAUGAUCAGUAGCCGGUCUGAGAGGAUGAACGGCCACAUUGGGACGGAGACACGGCCCAGACUCAUACGGGAGGCAGCAGUGGGGAAUCUUCCGCAAUGGACGAAAGUCUGACGGAGCAACGCCGCGUGAGUGAUGACGGCCUUCGGGUUGUAAAGCUCUGUUAAUCGGGACGAAAGGCCUUCUUGCGAAUAGUGAGAAGGAUUGACGGUACCGGAAUAGAAAGCCACGGCUAACUACGUG
This 510-nucleotide ribosomal RNA is filed under the name uncultured bacterium. Its description in RNAcentral is "partial 16S ribosomal RNA". It matches the Rfam family "Bacterial small subunit ribosomal RNA", at positions 28 to 507 of the family's 1533-position model. The record is from RNAcentral.